CACGAAGUUAGCCGGGGCUUCUUCUACGGUUACCGUCAUUAUCUUCACCGUUGAAAGAGCUUUACAACCCUAAGGCCUUCAUCACUCACGCGGCAUGGCUGGAUCAGGCUUGCGCCCAUUGUCCAAUAUUCCCCACUGCUGCCUCCCGUAGGAGUUUGGGCCGUGUCUCAGUCCCAAUGUGGCUGAUCAUCCUCUCAGACCAGCUAUGGAUCGUCGCCUUGGUAGGCCUUUACCCCACCAACUAGCUAAUCCAACGCGGGCCGAUCCAUCUCCGAUAAACUCUUUCCCCCCUAAGGGCGUAUGCGGUAUUAGCUCCAGUUUUCCCGGAGUUGUUCCGCAGAGAUGGGUACGUUCCCACGUGUUACCUCACCCGUCUGCCGCUCCCCUUGCGGGGCGCUCGACUUGCAUGUGUUAAGCCUGCCGCCAGCGUGUUCUUGAGCAGGACUCAACUACU
RNAcentral lists this ribosomal RNA (454 nucleotides) under uncultured Hyphomicrobiales bacterium. RNAcentral describes it as "uncultured Rhizobiales bacterium partial 16S ribosomal RNA". The record is from RNAcentral. Lineage: Bacteria; Pseudomonadati; Pseudomonadota; Alphaproteobacteria; Hyphomicrobiales.